UCCUGAUGACUGUUUCUUGUCCUGCCUGUGCUUUAAAUUUACCCUGUAUCCCUGGACACCUUAGCAUGUGAACAUAUGCAUCACUAGUGAAGAGGCUACAUUCAUCUAAGACCAUAUGCUCGUGUCCAUAUUAGAGCUGCUGAAUUUUCUCCAUGAAUUAAAUGCUCUUGAAAACCGUGUACAGUCAGAACCUAUACUGAAAGACUGCCAAAAUCCCAGGCCUACAUCCAUAGGGUUGUACGGGUCAAUACUUUAUGCUUGUGGGAUGAACGUGAUAGAGACAAGUUGCCCUGAAGAUACCCCAGCUUCUCUGACCAGCAUUCACCCAUGAAGCAACUCUUUUGGAACCCUCCUGAGAACAAUUCUUUCUGUUGCAAUCAUUCUUCAUGUCUUGCUCACAGAAGCUAAGUAUAGCACAGUGGGUAUAGCACAGUGAGUACUGCAGCUUUCAUUCAUACCAAAGGCAAUCAUCUCUGUAUUCUCUUUGAGUAAAUCUCCAGAGAUGCAUAAAUUCACCAUAAUUUGCAUUUGCUCAUGAACAGCAUCCCUGUAGGGUUAUUGAAAUUGCAUGUUGUAUUAUUUGAAUCGUUUUGGCUUAGCUGAAGGCCACAAAACUUGAAAGGUGGUUUGUUAUUGGUUCUUGGCCUUCCUGCCUUGUGUCAAAUUUUGCUGUUAAAUAUAUGAAUGUAAAACAACCAUUGGCUACAAGUGAAUUAUACUUCUCAUACUCAGAUCUAACAAAGAAGAGGAAUUGACCUAUGCAUUUUGUUGUCAUGUCCUCCAUGUAUAUGUAACCUUUUGGACAGGAAAAUUCAUGCAUGUGGAUUAUAAACUCCUCUGAGGCUUUGUUUUUAUUUUCCGUGUGAGUACCUGUGCUGCAGUGAUUUGAUUUGAGCAUAUGACUCCAGGAUAUUAUUUCAUAUCAUUCAAGUCAAUGGGGAUCCUGGAGAAAAUUCAAUUGCAGCAGGACCAGUCUUUGAAGAAUGUCACUCUCCGUGUAAGGUGACAGAAAACAGUGUCUAUGAAGGCAAGAUGCUGAGAAAUGUGGAAAAUAGAGGAGCACAACUGCGGGGAGUGGAGAGCGAUGUGGAGCAGGUUCAGCUGUGGCUGGCAAAGAGUCAUGGAGCCUGAUCAAGCAGUCUGUUCAACCCACACGUGUCCCAAGAACUUCAGGGGAAUAGCCUUUGUGAUUUUUUUUUUCCACAUAAUUAAGAUUGUAUUGGGUUCUUAAACCUCUGUAUAAUCCAACAAAGAAAAAAAUUAAAAGUU
Molecule: long non-coding RNA, 1269 nt
Organism: Pseudopipra pipra
Lineage: Eukaryota; Metazoa; Chordata; Aves; Passeriformes; Pipridae
Exons: 2
Source: RefSeq, a predicted model, not a curated record